CAAGUCGAACGCGAAAGCGGGGGCAACUCCGCAAGUAGAGUGGCGAACGGGUGAGUAAUGCAUCGGAACGUGCCCAGUCGUGGGGGAUAACCAGUCGAAAGACUGGCUAAUACCGCAUGAGACCUGAGGGUGAAAGCAGGGGAUCCGCAAGGACCUUGCGCGACUGGAGCGGCCGAUGCCGGAUUAGCUAGUUGGUGGGGUAAAAGCCCACCAAGGCGACGAUCCGUAGCUGGUCUGAGAGGACGAUCAGCCACACUGGAACUGAGACACGGUCCAGACUCCUACGGGAGGCAGCAGUGGGGAAUUUUGGACAAUGGGCGCAAGCCUGAUCCAGCCAUGCCGCGUGAGUGAAGAAGGCCUUCGGGUUGUAAAGCUCUUUAGUCCGGGACGAAAUCGCACGCGUGAAUAUCGCGGGUGGAUGACGGUACCGGAAGAAUAAGCACCGGCUAACUACGUGCCAGCAGCCGCGGUAAUACGUAGGGUGCGAGCGUUAAUCGGAAUUACUGGGCGUAAAGCGUGCGCAGGUGGUUUUUUAAGUCAGACGUGAAAUCCCCGGGCUUAACCUGGGAACUACGUUUGAAACUGGAAGACUAGAGUGUGGCAGAGGGGGGUGGAAUUCCUGGUGUAGCAGUGAAAUGCGUAGAGAUCAGGAGGAACACCGAUGGCGAAGGCAGCCCCCUGGGCUAACACUGACGCUCAUGCACGAAAGCGUGGGGAGCAAACAGGAUUAGAUACCCUGGUAGUCCACGCCCUAAACUAUGUCAACUGGUUGUUGGGAGAGUUAAAUCUCUUAGUAACGAAGCUAACGUGUGAAGUUGACCGCCUGGGGAGUACGGCCGCAAGGUUAAAACUCAAAGGAAUUGACGG
This 867-nucleotide ribosomal RNA is filed under the name uncultured bacterium. Its description in RNAcentral is "bacterial SSU rRNA". It matches the Rfam family "Bacterial small subunit ribosomal RNA", at positions 58 to 916 of the family's 1533-position model. The record is from RNAcentral.